RNAcentral lists this ribosomal RNA (433 nucleotides) under uncultured bacterium. RNAcentral's name for it is "partial 16S ribosomal RNA". It matches the Rfam family "Bacterial small subunit ribosomal RNA", at positions 29 to 507 of the family's 1533-position model. The record is from RNAcentral.
AACGAACGCUGGCGGCAUGCCUAACACAUGCAAGUCGAACGAGACCUUCGGGUCUAGUGGCGCACGGGUGCGUCACGCGUGGGAACCUGCCCUUAGGUUCGGAAUAACUCCCCGAAAGGGGUGCUAAUACCGGAUAAUGUCUUCGGACCAAAGAUUUAUCGCCUUUGGAUGGGCCGGCGUUGGAUUAGCUAGUUGGUAGGGUAAAAGCCUACCAAGGCGACGAUCCAUAGCUGGUCUGAGAGGAUGAUCAGCCACACUGGGACGGAGACACGGCCCAGACUCCUACGGGAGGCAGCAGUGGGGAAUAUUGGACAAUGGGCGAAAGCCUGAUCCAGCAAUGCCGCGUGAGUGAUGAAGGCCUUAGGGUUGUAAAGCUCUUUUACCCGGGAUGAUAAUGACAGUACCGGGAGAAUAAGCUCCGGCUAACUCCGUG